Molecule: ribosomal RNA, 405 nt
Filed under: uncultured bacterium
Lineage: Bacteria
Description: bacterial SSU rRNA
Rfam family: Bacterial small subunit ribosomal RNA
Source: RNAcentral
UUUUGGACAAUGGGCGCAAGCCUGAUCCAGCCAUUCCGCGUGAGUGAAGAAGGCCUUCGGGUUGUAAAGCUCUUUCGCAAGGGAAGAAAACUUACUUUCUAAUAAAGAGUGAGGUUGACGGUACCUUGAUAAGAAGCACCGGCUAACUACGUGCCAGCAGCCGCGGUAAUACGUAGGGUGCGAGCGUUAAUCGGAAUUACUGGGCGUAAAGCGUGCGCAGGCGGCUUUGUAAGUCAGAUGUGAAAUCCCCGAGCUCAACUUGGGAACUGCGUUUGAAACUACAAGGCUAGAAUAUGUCAGAGGGGGGUAGAAUUCCACGUGUAGCAGUGAAAUGCGUAGAGAUGUGGAGGAAUACCAAUGGCGAAGGCGAGCCCCCUGGGGUAAUAUUGACGCUCAUGCACGAGG